RNAcentral lists this long non-coding RNA (536 nucleotides) under Parus major (Great Tit). Its description in RNAcentral is "lncRNA (ENSPMJG00000011195.1)". The record is from RNAcentral. Lineage: Eukaryota; Metazoa; Chordata; Aves; Passeriformes; Paridae.
UCCCUGGUUCCUGUGGGGUGGUGGUCAGUGACCCCCCUCAGGACUGGUGUACCCAUCGCCCCUCUCAUCUCUGCAGCUGCUGUGGGUGAUCCGAGGCCGAGUGAGUCUGUGAAUGGAGUGUCUGCUGCCGACCUGAGCGCUGUCCAGCUGGAGACGUCUUUUGGAAGGUAACAUCACCCUGCCAUCCAGACCACAACACUACACUAUGUGAUUUCAGAGAACUUUCUUCAAGCUCAAGAAAAUAUAUCAACUUUCAGUCUUAACAUUUGCUUGGAAAUCCAUUUUUCUGAGCAUUCUGAAGCAGUUUGAGACAUCAGGCUCAUUUGAAGAGAACACAAGCUACAUACCAGAACAAUACAAGCCACAGCAAUAUUUUUGAAGAAAGCAUCUUUCAGGUCUCCAGAUAUUUAUGCAUUGCUUGAAAAUGAGUAUGGAAGUUCUCCAAUAACUUUACCAAACUGUGCAGUCAUGUAUUUCAGGGAGAACAAAUAUACAAGAGCACAAAUGCAGUAUAUCUUCCUCUGCCUAUGAAGAAU